This 253-nucleotide ribosomal RNA is filed under the name uncultured bacterium. Its description in RNAcentral is "partial 16S ribosomal RNA". It matches the Rfam family "Bacterial small subunit ribosomal RNA", at positions 524 to 776 of the family's 1533-position model. The record is from RNAcentral.
UACGGGGGGGACAAGCGUUGUUCGGAAUUACUGGGCGUAAAGGGCUCGUAGGCGGCCAACUAAGUCAGACGUGAAAUCCCCAGGCUCAACCUGGGAACUGCGUCUGAUACUGGAUGGCUGGAGUUUGGGAGAGGGAUGCGGAAUUCCAGGUGUAGCGGUGAAAUGCGUAGAUAUCUGGAGGAACACCGGUGGCGAAGGCGGCAUCCUGGACCAAUACUGACGCUGAGGAGCGAAAGCCAGGGGAGCAAACGGG